UGCAGUCGAGCGGACAGAUGGGAGCUUGCUCCCUGAUGUUAGCGGCGGACGGGUGAGUAACACGUGGGUAACCUGCCUGUAAGACUGGGAUAACUCCGGGAAACCGGGGCUAAUACCGGAUGGUUGUCUGAACCGCAUGGUUCAGACAUAAAAGGUGGCUUCGGCUACCACUUACAGAUGGACCCGCGGCGCAUUAGCUAGUUGGUGAGGUAACGGCUCACCAAGGCGACGAUGCGUAGCCGACCUGAGAGGGUGAUCGGCCACACUGGGACUGAGACACGGCCCAGACUCCUACGGGAGGCAGCAGUAGGGAAUCUUCCGCAAUGGACGAAAGUCUGACGGAGCAACGCCGCGUGAGUGAUGAAGGUUUUCGGAUCGUAAAGCUCUGUUGUUAGGGAAGAACAAGUGCCGUUCAAAUAGGGCGGCACCUUGACGGUACCUAACCAGAAAGCCACGGCUAACUACGUGCCAGCAGCCGCGGUAAUACGUAGGUGGCAAGCGUUGUCCGGAAUUAUUGGGCGUAAAGGGCUCGCAGGCGGUUUCUUAAGUCUGAUGUGAAAGCCCCCGGCUCAACCGGGGAGGGUCAUUGGAAACUGGGGAACUUGAGUGCAGAAGAGGAGAGUGGAAUUCCACGUGUAGCGGUGAAAUGCGUAGAGAUGUGGAGGAACACCAGUGGCGAAGGCGACUCUCUGGUCUGUAACUGACGCUGAGGAGCGAAAGCGUGGGGAGCGAACAGGAUUAGAUACCCUGGUAGUCCACGCCGUAAACGAUGAGUGCUAAGUGUUAGGGGGUUUCCGCCCCUUAGUGCUGCAGCUAACGCAUUAAGCACUCCGCC
RNAcentral lists this ribosomal RNA (835 nucleotides) under Bacillus tequilensis. RNAcentral describes it as "bacterial SSU rRNA". It matches the Rfam family "Bacterial small subunit ribosomal RNA", at positions 56 to 873 of the family's 1533-position model. Lineage: Bacteria; Bacillati; Bacillota; Bacilli; Caryophanales; Bacillaceae. The record is from RNAcentral.